Nannospalax galili (Upper Galilee mountains blind mole rat) is the source of this 876-nucleotide long non-coding RNA. RefSeq lists it as uncharacterized. The transcript is spliced from 4 exons. The record is from RefSeq and is a predicted model, not a curated record. Lineage: Eukaryota; Metazoa; Chordata; Mammalia; Rodentia; Spalacidae.
CUUAAUUUAUGUGUAGUUCAGUGUGUCGACUGUGUAGGUGUCCAUGGAGUCCGGAAGAGUGCACCAGGCCCCAGAGCUGGAGUCACUUGUGAGUCGCCUGAUAUGAGUGGUAGGAACGGAACUGUAAGAGCAACAAGUGCCCUUACGUGCUGGGCCUGCUUUCCAGCCCCUAUGCAGGUGGCGUUAGCUGUAGAGUCAACCAGUAGCACGUCUACAUGGCACACCAGUGCUGUAUUGAUGCUCUUUUCCUGGGCUUUUAUGAAUACUCAGACCUUCUAGCUUCUGGACUCACAUGCAGGUUCUCCUCUGGGUUAAAGAUUUUCUUUCUACUUCAAGCCUGUCCUUUUGGAAUCCUUUGUUUCUGCGCCGCGUCAGGAAGUCCUUGGUGUGUAGAUGAACCCACCUGAUGGCGCACAGGCCACCGGCUCUGGCUGUAUGCAGAGCUAGACUUUACGUGGGAGACCAAGACAGGGCAGCUGUUCUCUGAGGACACGGAGGUGAAAAGGUUGGCUGCCACAGCUGCCAGGGCAGCCCACUUUCCAAUGGUCCUGGUCCUUCAUCCCCACAGUCAAGGACUCCAAGAGAGCAGAAGACCUAGGGUCCCAUGGGGACCCCACCAUGGCUCUGACCUUCCCCUUCACUGUGUGUGGGUACCCACAGAGGCCAGAAGAGCUCAUCACAUGCCCUGGAACUAGAGCCACAGGCAGCUCUGUGCCACCUAAUAUGGACACUGGGAACUGAACUCCAGUCGUCUGCAAAGCAUACAAGCGCUUUUGAUCCUUGAGCCAUCCCUCCAGCCCUGCUCCUUCAAGUUUUACAGAAUUUUAGUUAAGCAUCUGUCCUAGUUUGUUCUUCAUUGCUGUGACAAAACACUCU